CUGCCUCCAAUUCCAAACGUCCUUCUGUGGCUUGCUGGCUGAAGCCGUCAGCAAUGCUGGACUCCAUCCUAGGCCCUGUAUGCUGCCCAGCACUCCUGCGCUCCGUUGUUCUUGAAUCAACAGAUACAUGGUCAUCUUCAUGACAGGACAGGUUGUCUUGGUAACUCAGUUGGCUUAGUCCAUCCAGAUCAAGGCCAUCAUGAAUUCUAGACUUCUCUUUGUAAUGUUUUCUUCUCC
Molecule: long non-coding RNA, 237 nt
Filed under: Gallus gallus (chicken)
Lineage: Eukaryota; Metazoa; Chordata; Aves; Galliformes; Phasianidae
Source: RNAcentral